RNAcentral lists this transfer RNA (69 nucleotides) under Marmota marmota marmota (Alpine marmot). It matches the Rfam family "tRNA". Rfam says of the family: Transfer RNA (tRNA) molecules are approximately 80 nucleotides in length. Their secondary structure includes four short double-helical elements and three loops (D, anti-codon, and T loops). The record is from Rfam by way of RNAcentral. RNAcentral also lists the same sequence under 3 other names. Lineage: Eukaryota; Metazoa; Chordata; Mammalia; Rodentia; Sciuridae.
GGGGAUGUGGCUCAGUGGCAGAGCACUUGCCUUGCAUGUAUGAGGCCCUGGGUUCGAUCCUCAGCACCA